RNAcentral lists this microRNA precursor (125 nucleotides) under Microtus ochrogaster (prairie vole). Its description in RNAcentral is "miRNA (ENSMOCG00000006685.1)". The record is from RNAcentral. Lineage: Eukaryota; Metazoa; Chordata; Mammalia; Rodentia; Cricetidae.
GGUUUCUCUGGGUAGCCCUGGCUGUCCUGGAACUCACUCUGUAGACCAGGCUGGUCUUGAACUCAGAGGUUCACCUGCCUCUGCCUCCCAAGUGCUGGGAUUAAAGGUAUGCACCAUCACUGCCC